UGGGGAAUUUUGGACAAUGGGCGCAAGUCUGAUCCAGCCAUGCCGCGUGCGGGAAGAAGGCCUUCGGGUUGUAAACCGCUUUUGUCAGGGAAGAAACGAGUUUCUCUAAUACAGAGACUUAAUGACGGUACCUGAAGAAUAAGCACCGGCUAACUACGUGCCAGCAGCCGCGGUAAUACGUAGGGUGCAAGCGUUAAUCGGAAUUACUGGGCGUAGAGCGUGCGCAGGCGGUUAUAUAAGACAGAUGUGAAAUCCCCGGGCUCAACCUGGGAACUGCAUUUGUGACUGUAUAGCUAGAGUACGGCAGAGGGGGAUGGAAUUCCGCGUGUAGCAGUGAAAUGCGUAGAUAUGCGGAGGAACACCGAUGGCGAAGGCAAUCCCCUGGGCCUGUACUAACGCUCAUGCACGAAAGCGUGGGGAGCAAACA
Molecule: ribosomal RNA, 427 nt
Filed under: uncultured bacterium
Lineage: Bacteria
Description: bacterial SSU rRNA
Rfam family: Bacterial small subunit ribosomal RNA
Source: RNAcentral